This is a non-coding RNA of Ailuropoda melanoleuca (giant panda), 73 nucleotides long. The record is from Rfam. Lineage: Eukaryota; Metazoa; Chordata; Mammalia; Carnivora; Ursidae.
GCCUGACUGGCUCAAUUGGUAGAGCAUGCGACUCUUGAUCUCAGGGUCAUGAGUUUGAGCCCCAUGUUGGGCA